UAUGUCUAUAGAUUGUAAAAGGACAUUUAUUCAGCAUUAAUAUCAUAUGAUGUAGAUCGUCAUCUUAGAAAUUAAAUAUCAAGAUUGGUUGUGGGGUUGAAUAUAUAAUGUAGAUUCGUUAAUAUAGGUGGGAUACCAAUUUUCAUGUAUUUAGAAGAAGAAAUAAUUACAGUUUUUUUACGUCAACAUUAGACAACACAUUAUUAAUUAAACUUUAAAUAUACAAUACAGGGGUCUAGAAUAACUAUCGUUGGUAGAGCUUGAUGCUAUAAGUUUCAAAAUCCAAAUUGAUGCACCAUGAAAAUUGGUCACACUAAAAUCAACCAUUUCAUCAGUGAAGCAGGGUAUCACGUCUUUGUGUUUUUAUAUAAUAUAUGUCCCUAUGGUAAAAGUCCAUAGCUCACAUUAUACUCAGCUUAAAUGUUGUUUCAUGUGCACUUGAAAUCCAAUUAUCAUGUAGGCAAUCAUGUGUGUAUUGAAUACUGUGGAUUCGUUACUAUUUGUUAGAUAUCAAUUUUUCAUGGUUACAUGAGAACUAGGUAUUUUAAUGUACAACGAAUUGCAAGCUAUUAAUAAAAAUGUAUGCAAACUAAAGCAAAACCACGAAACAAAUAUCCAAGAAAUGCAAGUUUUUCUAAAUCUAGGAAAAUUUGCCCCCACAAAAUAAUGAAUCCAUAGUAUGUUAUUUGUACUUGUUAAAUUCAAUGAAUUGUGGUAUUUAUUUUGAAAUGUUACACAUGUGAUUGUAUAGGAGUAUUUGAUUAUGAGUCAAGAGAGGUAAUUAAUAUUUACAUCCAUAAGUCAGAAUAAUAGGUUCUUUUUUUCUGUAGAUUUUCUUUUUUGCAGCAUUAAUUAAAGAAAUGUUAAAUGUAAUAUUCCAUCAAAUGUGUCAAUUCAUGUUUGUACUUGGACCUUUGGCCAUAUUAUUCA
Molecule: long non-coding RNA, 930 nt
Filed under: Mytilus galloprovincialis (Mediterranean mussel)
Lineage: Eukaryota; Metazoa; Mollusca; Bivalvia; Mytilida; Mytilidae
Source: RNAcentral